RNAcentral lists this ribosomal RNA (497 nucleotides) under uncultured bacterium. RNAcentral describes it as "partial 16S ribosomal RNA". It matches the Rfam family "Bacterial small subunit ribosomal RNA", at positions 28 to 507 of the family's 1533-position model. The record is from RNAcentral.
GAUGAACGCUGGCGGCGUGCCUAAUACAUGCAAGUCGAGCGAACGGACGAGAAGCUUGCUUCUCUGAUGUUAGCGGCGGACGGGUGAGUAACACGUGGAUAACCUACCUAUAAGACUGGGAUAACUUCGGGAAACCGGAGCUAAUACCGGAUAAUAUUUUGAACCGCAUGGUUCAAAAGUGAAAGACGGUCUUGCUGUCACUUAUAGAUGGAUCCGCGCUGCAUUAGCUAGUUGGUAAGGUAACGGCUUACCAAGGCAACGAUGCAUAGCCGGCCUGAGAGAGUGAUCAGCCACACUGGAACUGAGACACGGUCCAGACUCCUGCGGGAGGCAGCAGUAGGAAAUCGUCCGCAAUGGGCGAGAGCCUGACGUAGCAACGCCGCGUGAGUGAUGAAGGUCUUCGGAUCGUAAAACUCUGUUAUUAGUGAAGAACAUAUGUGUAAGUAACUGUGCACAUCUUGACGGUACCUAAUCAGAAAGCCACGGCUAACUACGUG